AUGCUGUCUGAUGAUGACACAAUUCUUAACUUUAGCAUUUGGAUGGCUGAAGCAGAAGGUAUAUGGAACCUACCACUCAUACCCAUUUCUUGUGGUCCUGUCUUGACAGAUAUGGGCCGGAUAUUCUUGGUGAAACGAUAUCGUAGAGUGCGUCCAGGACUUGGGAGUUUUUGGAGAUCUGAGAGGGAUUGUUCUGAAAGAGGUUGUGGGUUGUCGGGACAACGGUUUUCGCGGAGGUCUUCGAUUCAAAGAUUCGAAGGUUGA
Non-coding RNA from Vicia faba (fava bean), 264 nucleotides. The record is from the annotation of a GenBank genome assembly. NCBI's taxonomy places the organism in Eukaryota, Viridiplantae, Streptophyta, Magnoliopsida, Fabales, Fabaceae.